AUGACGUCAAAUCAUCAUGCCCCUUAUGUCUUGGGCUUCACGCAUGCUACAAUGGCCGGUACAAAGGGCUGCGAUACCGCGAGGUGGAGCGAAUCCCAGAAAGCCGGUCUCAGUUCGGAUUGGGGUCUGCAACUCGACCCCAUGAAGUCGGAGUCGCUAGUAAUCGCAGAUCAGCAACGCUGCGGUGAAUACGUUCCCGGGCCCGUU
Molecule: ribosomal RNA, 207 nt
Filed under: uncultured Cellulomonas sp.
Lineage: Bacteria; Bacillati; Actinomycetota; Actinomycetes; Micrococcales; Cellulomonadaceae
Description: partial 16S ribosomal RNA
Rfam family: Bacterial small subunit ribosomal RNA
Source: RNAcentral